This 1014-nucleotide ribosomal RNA is filed under the name uncultured Basidiomycota. RNAcentral describes it as "eukaryotic LSU rRNA". The stretch from base 358 to 1014 matches the Rfam family "Eukaryotic large subunit ribosomal RNA", at positions 1 to 664 of the family's 3401-position model. The record is from RNAcentral. Lineage: Eukaryota; Fungi; Basidiomycota.
AUCGAUGAAGAACGCAGCGAAAUGCGAUAAGUAAUGUGAAUUGCAGAAUUCAGUGAAUCAUCGAAUCUUUGAACGCACCUUGCGCUCCCUGGUAUUCCGGGGAGCACGCCUGUUCGAGUGUUAUGAAACUCUCAGAUAAUAAUUGGCUUACCCUGAUUAUUAUUUGGAUUUGAACUUGCUGUGUGUCCUUUAUUGGAUAAUGGCUUGUUUUAAAUGUAUCAGCUAGCCUUGAGCUCAGUGGUUCUACUUGACGUGAUAAUUAUCUUACGUUGAGGACAUUCUCUUGCUUGCAAGGGUUUGGCCAUUGGUGUCUUAUUGGUUGCUAUCUAAUCGUCUUCGGACAACUUUAUUCAUAUCUGACCUCGAAUCAGGUGGGACUACCCGCUGAACUUAAGCAUAUCAAUAAGCGGAGGAAAAGAAACUAACAAGGAUUCCCCUAGUAACGGCGAGUGAAGCGGGAUGAGCUCAAAUUUAAAAUCUGGCAGUCUUCGAUUGUCCGAGUUGUAAUCUAGAGAAGUGUUUUCCGCGCUGGACCAUGUACAAGUUUCCUGGAACGGAACGUCAUAGAGGGUGAGAAUCCCGUCCUUGACAUGGACUACCAGUGCUAUGUGAUACACUCUCAACGAGUCGAGUUGUUUGGGAUUGCAGCUCAAAAUGGGAGGUAAAUUCCUUCUAAAGCUAAAUAUUGGCGAGAGACCGAUAGCGAACAAGUACCGUGAGGGAAAGAUGAAAAGCACUUUGGAAAGAGAGUUAAACAGUACGUGAAAUUGUUAAAAGGGAAACGAUUGAAGUCAGUCGCGUUUACUUGGACUCAGCCUUACUUCGGUUUGGUGCAUUUCCUUGUAAACGGGCCAGCGUCAAUGUUGUCUACUGGAAAAGGGUUGAAGGAAUGUGGCUCUUUCGGGAGUGUUAUAGCCUUUGAUCGUAUACGGUGGCUGAUAUUGAGUGGUACAGCAUGCUUCGGCGGUGCUUGUGCUGGCAUAAUGGCUUUAAACGACCCGUCUUGAAACACGG